UCGGAUAUGGUGUAACGGCUAACAUUGCCGCCUCUCAAGAUUUAGGGACUCGAUUUUCAAGAUCGCGGCAGCUCGGGGUUCGAUUCCCCGUAUCCGAA
This is a non-coding RNA of Peniophora sp. CONT, 98 nucleotides long. The record is from the annotation of a GenBank genome assembly. NCBI's taxonomy places the organism in Eukaryota, Fungi, Basidiomycota, Agaricomycetes, Russulales, Peniophoraceae.